UAAGCUCGCAGUGCUGGUGGUUCGCCGUGCCCCCGUGGUGUGGCGAGGCAAGAGGGAACCCGGUGCGAAUCCGGGACUGCCCCGCAGCGGUGAGCGGGAACGACCGCCGUCAUCAAGCACUGGGCGAGAGCCUGGGAAGCGACGGCCAGUAGGACCAGUUGGAUGCCCGCGAGUCCGAAGACCUGCCACCGGUACACGCACCGC
This 204-nucleotide non-coding RNA is filed under the name Kibdelosporangium aridum. The record is from RNAcentral. Lineage: Bacteria; Bacillati; Actinomycetota; Actinomycetes; Pseudonocardiales; Pseudonocardiaceae.